RNAcentral lists this transfer RNA (69 nucleotides) under Agrilinae sp. 5 ACP-2013. RNAcentral's name for it is "tRNA-Gln". Lineage: Eukaryota; Metazoa; Arthropoda; Insecta; Coleoptera; Buprestidae. The record is from RNAcentral.
UAUGUUUUAGUAUAUGGUGUAUAGAAAAUUUUGAUUUUUCAGGUAAUAGUUUGAUUCUAUUAAACAUAA